GAAAGAUGGCUUUGGCUAUCACUCUGGGAUGGACCUGCGGUGCAUUAGCUAGUUGGUAAGGUAACGGCUUACCAAGGCGAUGAUGCAUAGCCGAGUUGAGAGACUGAUCGGCCACAAUGGAACUGAGACACGGUCCAUACUCCUACGGGAGGCAGCAGUAGGGAAUCUUCCACAAUGGGCGCAAGCCUGAUGGAGCAACACCGCGUGAGUGAAGAAGGGUUUCGGCUCGUAAAGCUCUGUUGUUGGAGAAGAGCGUGCGUGAGAGUAACUGUUCAUGCAGUGACGGUAUCCAACCAGAAAGUCACGGCUAACUACGUGCCAGCAGCCGCGGUAAUACGUAGGUGGCAAGCGUUAUCCGGAUUUAUUGGGCGUAAAGCGAGCGCAGGCGGUUGCUUAGGUCUGGUGUGAAAGCCUUCGGCUUAACCGAAGAAGUGCAUCGGAAACCGGGCGACUUGAGUGCAGAAGAGGACAGUGGAACUCCAUGUGUAGCGGUGGAAUGCGUAGAUAUAUGGAAGAACACCAGUGGCGAAGGCGGCUGUCUGGUCUGCAACUGACGCUGAGGCUCGAAAGCAUGGGUAGCGAACAGGAUUAGAUACCCUGGUAGUCCAUGCCGUAAACGAUGAGUGCUAGGUGUUGGAGGGUUUCCGCCCUUCA
RNAcentral lists this ribosomal RNA (654 nucleotides) under uncultured bacterium. RNAcentral's name for it is "bacterial SSU rRNA". It matches the Rfam family "Bacterial small subunit ribosomal RNA", at positions 202 to 842 of the family's 1533-position model. The record is from RNAcentral.